GCGGCCCAAUUAGCUACCGACCGAGUACGCUAAUUCGAGAGAGAUCACGAGGGGGGAUCGAUCGAUGUGGUGGACUGAGAGGACGAGCGGAUCGUUCGCUGACAGAGAGGAGGGGAGACGACGCAGACGAAGAGGCGACCCCGCCCAACGCCCAGGAGACGCAGGCGAUACGACCGCGGAUCAACUUUGUGCGGCAUUCAUGGCGGAUGAUGUGUGCCCCUUGCCAGCGGUGACUAAUGGAUGUCUCUCUGUUUUCUCGUCCUUCUGCUGCCUCAGUUCAGGCACGUGUAUAUAUAUACUUCUUCCUCUACCACUCUCAACUCACCCUUUCCACUCCGGCGAUAGAAUAUCCAUCAGCAUGGUGCUUUGCUAGGUAAAAAAAGCCUUCCAUAAUCGCUUCUCUCGAUCUCCCUACUUUGCUCGUUUGUCUCCGUCCACCCCCAGCACCGCUAUGCUUGUAGCGGAAACCCAAGUGGCAACCGUGUUUGGCAGGUUAACCGGAAACUCCAGAAGUGGCGGUCAUGCCCCCUUCAAUGUCUUUAAGCACAUCCACGGUCCGUCUGCUGUGGUCGCUGCAAUGUGUACCACAAAAGUUAGGUGGUGCUGAAUUCGUUAGAUAAAUUAUUAUUUUUGAAGUGAAUCAGUAAAUCGCUGCGGUGUAAUUUAUGAGGAGUUUCAUUCAACUGAAUUAUAUUUUCAGUUUUGCUAAAGCAUAUCUAGAUGUGCCAUAAGUAUUGUACAUCUAAGUCAUAUGUCAUUGAUUUUACAUUGAGAUUCAUGUGAAUAUUUUUUUCUCUUUUUUUUUCUCUUUAUGCUUGAUUCUUAUAUUUUUUUCCGUGAAUAUGUUUCAGAUUGCAAUGUUCUCCUGCGAGAUAGUUGCAGUCUAUCUUGAGUUUGAUUCUGGGCACUUUAGACAUAAGUUGCUCAAGAAUAUGGUCCGUCUGGGGAGGCCUAAUUCCGGAUAUACACUGCACAAAUCCU
Triticum aestivum (bread wheat) is the source of this 981-nucleotide long non-coding RNA. RefSeq lists it as uncharacterized. NCBI's taxonomy places the organism in Eukaryota, Viridiplantae, Streptophyta, Magnoliopsida, Poales, Poaceae. The record is from RefSeq and is a predicted model, not a curated record. The transcript is spliced from 3 exons.